AGCGAGCCGAGCCCCGCCCGAAAUUGUGCCCAAUUUCUAUCCCUACCAGAAUCAUCCGUCAGCUGCUCGUCUGCUCUUGCCGCUGCCGCCGCCGCCGUUGGAAACGGCGCCGAUCCGGCCUCCUCCGAGGAUGCGCGACCGGUAAGUCUUCCACCGUAAGAACACCGAAGGUCGUGGCCGCUACAUGCGGCAGCCUCUUCGUCGGUGCUGUACCAGGUGAGCCUGCGCGCAAGGACAACGAUCCUCAUGUGUUUUAUAUUAUUCUGAUUUGGAGAUAAUUAUCGCGAUUUUGCUGCCGUAAUAUUUCAAGCGGACACGGAUCAAGGAGACGAGGACAUUGCUGCCGCUGGGCAUGAGACACUGUUAAGCUGGUUUCCUAGAUUCUAUUUGUCGUUCCUUUGUUCUAAUUAAACACAGAGUGGUGAUUUCAUUCAUACAUUUCGUUCCUGUGUUCUAAUUAGACACGGAUAGCGAUGUAGGAGGCAGCUGAAGACAGAGUAGGGAUUUGGUGAGUUCAUCCCCUGUCCCGAUCCAGUGGAUUACUUUAUCAGGGUUGUAUUAAAACAUACACCAUUCUGAUCGAUUGUGUAGUAAAACGUGGAUUCGUAUUACACAAUUAUUGUAACUUUUUUUUAUCGUGAAUCAUGAUCAGUACUGCAUACGAGCCAAUUUGCUUCCAGUCCUAUAGUCUAAUUAUAUUGUCAAUUAUGGAUCAGUCUAUUCGCUUCGAUGUGACUCCCUCAGGACGCGACCUCGAUUCAGCACCGGAUCCGCAUCAUCCGUGCACCCCUCUCAUCCUUUGGCAGUUGAUGGAUCUCCGUCUCGGUGCAUGUGCAUAGGAGAUGUGAAGUUUCCUGUUCAAUCCAUGUUUCUGAAAGUCGAUCUUAACAGGUUCCAUUAAUUUGGUUGGUUGGUCAGGAUUUUGGUAGCUGUAGGUUCAGUGUUCAUGGCUUAGUCGGUUUUAGUGCUCUCCUUCAGGUAUCAGCAGAGAAGUUUGGGAGCAGAGAACUAUUAAGAUAUGGAUGGCCCAACCUCCCUCAUUGGAUAUGUUUUGGUUUGUUUAAUACAUUGUCCUAAUUUCGUGGGAUGUUUACAAAAUUUCCACUGUUACAAUUGUGUAGUUGUAAUUCUGUUCUGAUUUUCGUAGCCAAAAAGAAAUUGUCACUCGCUGUUUCAUGGUAGUUUUGUCAUGAUGAAUAUGUCAUAAAUCAAUGAAGGUCCCACAUGUAAGUUUAAGCUGAUAAAUAGGGCAAUAAAAUAAAAUGAAAAACGUGCUCCUCCGUGGGUCAAUCCUGUUACCGAUUGAAUGGGAAUUUAUUACCACAACCGGGUCCCACGUGUAAGUUUUAGGUGAGUUGGUGGUAGAAGUUUUGGUAAGUUAUGUUAGUCUGAGAUAAAAAAGGAAGGAAAAUUAAAAAGAAUGAGUGUCCAUAGCAAGGCUCGAACCUGUGACCUCUUGAUUGUGAUGAGACAACACUACCAUUGAGACAUGAACUAUGUAUAAUUUUUAGAUAGGAUAAAUUUUAUAUAUCUUGCUUCUAAUAAGUGUGGUCCACAUGCCAGUUGCAGGCUCAAGCAUCGGCUAGAUAUUUCUCAUUUCUCUACAUGACAUACACUACUACAAGAGACUCAUCGGCACCACGCUCUUGUUGGUUGUGGCAAAUACUAGAGCUAGCAGGAAUGGCGGCUCCUAGCAGCGACGGGAGGAGGAGAUACGGUCAGCUUCCAAAUGAACCUGGAGUCAUUGAGAGUAUUAAAUCGCCGCCGCAUGAUGUUAUCGUUGUGCAUCCUGAAAAUAAGUGCGAGCAUGGGUUUCCUCUCCAUAUGAAGUAUGAUUGGAUAUUUGACAACCCUAUGCGUCGGUAUGCAUCCUGCUGCGAGGUAAACGAUAACUUAUUUCAAUUCUAAUAAACUAACCUUGCUUGUACUCUUGAUGUUAGUGUUGUAAAUAGCAAAUUGCAUGAACAUAAUCAGUGUCUGUAGCCUGAAGGGGUUAAAUGCGUGGUGUUUAAGUGGGUUGAUCCUGAAUGGGAUGCUAGGACUAAAGGUAUUCUAGUCAAGCUGAUGAAGAUGAAGGAAAAAGCUGAAGAGGAAGCAAGGUCGUGGGAAGAAGAAUGGAGAAUUGCUAAGAAGGAGGCCAAUAACAAAAUCUAUAAGAUUCACAUGAUGAAGCGAUGAUACUUUAGGGAUACAACCAAUGAGCUGAUGAACACGACGAAGAAAAUUAGACACGAUGUAGUGAUGUCUCACCUAAAAAUGGGAAAUGAUAAAAGGAAUCUGAAAGCUGAAAAUGAUGUAAGGAUGUGGAAGGAAGAAUGCGCAAAGGCUAAUAUGGAGCUUGAAGUGACUGCCGCUAAGCUGUAGAAGGUGAAGGGACACCUGGAUCAAGCCACCAAUGUGGUGAAGAAGGUCAAGCAAUCGCUGCUGUAGGUCUCAUAUAGAAAGUCAUUCAGGGAUGAUGAUAAGGCAUAAUGUGAUGUUUGGUGUUAUUGCUAUGUAGCCGGUUGAGAGGUGGGAUCAUGCUUGUAUUUUGGUAGCUAAUGAUACUAUCUAGCAAAUUAUGAUAGCUAUUAA
Setaria italica (foxtail millet) is the source of this 2574-nucleotide long non-coding RNA. RefSeq lists it as uncharacterized. NCBI's taxonomy places the organism in Eukaryota, Viridiplantae, Streptophyta, Magnoliopsida, Poales, Poaceae. The record is from RefSeq and is a predicted model, not a curated record. The transcript is spliced from 2 exons.